Molecule: long non-coding RNA, 10941 nt
Filed under: Homo sapiens (human)
Lineage: Eukaryota; Metazoa; Chordata; Mammalia; Primates; Hominidae
Description: non-protein coding lnc-RALGAPA2-2:4
Source: RNAcentral
AAUCAAGUAGCCGGCUUGCCUUGCGGAGGAUCCUGCUUCCCCCUCCUCCACCCCAUUUUUUUCCUUUCACCCAGUAAAACCCUGUUUAACUCACCCUUCAAACCGUCUGCGAGGCUACGUUUUCGUGGCCACGGGACGGACAAGGACCCCAUCUUUAGCUGAACUACGGAAAAGCCCUGCAACACCACCAUCUCAUCGCUGACUUGGAAAUAAGCUAGCAGUGGCUGUGUCAGCAAGACCACCACAUGCAGCAAGGGUGGCCACUUCCAGCUAGCUCCUGCAUCCACAGCUGCCUCGCCCCUAUUGGCUACUGCCAUCCAUGUAACAGACUCUUGGGAAAUAUGCUCGGCUGAAAAACUGCAUUUCCCAACUCAAGACCUAAGAGGUGGUCAGGAGAUACAAGCAGGAGUCCUUGGAUGAGGUAAUGAGAAAAGUCAUCAUGCUCUAGUCCUUCCUCUUUCUUGCCUCUUGCAAAUGGAAUGACUGGAACACAGCAGCCAUCUUGAGAUGCUGAGAAUGGAAACCACACAUUAAAAAUAGAAAGAGGGCCAGGCAUGGUGACUCACACCUGUAGUCCCAGCACUUUGGGAGGCUGAGGCAGGCGGAUCCCUUGAGCCUAGAAGUUUGAGACCAGCCUGGGAAACAUGGGAGAUCUCAUCUCUACUACAAAUACAAAUACAAAAAAAAAAAAAAAAAUUAGCUGGGUUUGGCGGCAUGUACCUGUAUAGUCCCAGCUACUCGGGAGGCUGAAGUAGGAGAAUCACCUGAGCCGGGGAGGUCAAGGUUGCAGUGAGCUGUGAUUGCACCACUGCACUCCAGCCUGGGUGACAGGAGUCAGAACUUGUCAAAAAAAAAAAAAAAAAAAAAAAAAAAGAUGGAAGGGCCUGGGUUCCUGUUGACAUCAGGGAGCCACCUUACCGGGCCUGGGUUGCUUUUCUCCAGAUAUUUUUAUUUUUAAUGAGAGAAGGAAAUAAACUUUUUCUUUUUGAACUGCUUAUUUGACUGUAGCUGUAAAUACAAAGCUCUAGAAUCUCUGUGGUAAUGACUUUUAAAAGCCAUCAAGUAUAAGCCCUGCACCAUGUCAAUGAGAGAUAAAGGGAAGCAACAAGAAAGGGAAAGGAGAGGGAAAGAGAACGAAACAGAGACAGUGCUUGAUCCAGGGCCAGACCACCUGAGUUUGGACCCUAGUCUAUCACCUCCCUACUAACUGACCCUGGGCAAACUACCUAAGCUUCACAGCACCCUCGGUUCUCUAACCUACAACAUGGGGAUGCCAAUGGCAGUGACCUCAGUGUAUGGUGAGAGUUCCAUCUGUUACCAUGUGUCUGUCUCGCGGUAAACAUUCAACGGCAGUCAGGUGCUCUCCCGCUUUGAGGCUGCCUGGCAGCAGGCUCCUGUCUCCUAGGGUUGACCGUUUUCUUUGGAGUAGACUUUCACUCUAUCGGAAAGCUGUUCCUCGGGAUGAAUAAACACUGCAUUCCCAUCACUUUUGGGGCCUGUCUAGAUCUGUUUCCCAGAGCCAUCAUGUGCAAGACUAAUUUCGCUCUCCAUAUGAAAAGUCUUCAAGUAUUUGAAGACUGGCUGGCCAUCCUGCACACCCUGAAUCUUCACUCCUCUGGCUGCGCAUCUGGAGUGACGGAGCCCCUCCCUCGCUGUGCUUCAGCUUGUUCCUUCCCUUCUUCAGUGGGACUCCAAGGAACGAAGGUCAUAUUGCAAGUACACUUCUGUUUUUGUGGCCAUCCUCUGAUACAACCAUGUUCGGCAGGAGUCACUUGGCAACUUUCAGCUGGUGGAUGGACUGAUCUGGAGGAUCUGAGAUUGUUUCACUCACAUGCCCAGUGCCUUGCAAGGCUGGCUGAAGGGCUGGGAUCAGUGGGGCCUGGGAGGCAGAGAGCUCACCUACAGCGUCUCCAGCGUGGCAACCCCAGGGCAUCAGAACUUCUCACGUGGCACCUCAGGACUCCAGGAGCGACUGCUGCCACAAUCCAGGAGGCACUGUAUGGCCUCUGUGACUUGGCCUCAGAAGUCACACCAUGUCACAACCUUUGCACUUUGUUGGCCGAGGCAGUCACAAGGCUGCCCAGAUUCAAGGAGAGGAGACAUAGACUCUACCUCUUAGAUGGAAGAGGCAUCAAAGAAUUUGCAGCCAUUUUUAAAACAGCCAGUUUUCUUUGACUGCAUGCUUUUAUUUUCCCCUGUAAUCAUUCUCAGAGUGAGAUCUCUAUAUAGUAGGUGCUGUCAAAUGACACGGGGGAGUGUCUUUCUCAGGUCUCUUACUGGGAGGUACAGCACUGGUGUAGAUGGGUCUUUCCUCCCUGCUGUGUGUAGAAGGCUGUCACCUGGGCUGCACCAUUCUGGAUGCCACACUAUUACUGACCCAGUCUAAGACAUGAUUAACCCCUUUGGAGACAAUGUAACAUUGCCGACCCACAUCAAGCUCACUGUAUACUACAGUCUCAGCUCUUCUUCUUGCUUGCUUGGAAGUACCUGCCCUACCUGUCAGCUGCUAGUGACCCCCGACCCAUGAACAGUCCAUACCACAGUCUUCUCAUGCUCAACACCAAGCUCAUUUGAUUUCAGUUGGUACAUUUUUGUUCUUCCUCUUUAUGAGGUUCCUCAAAUCCAGGCCUGGGGAAGGCAUCUCUCUGCUGCUCCAUGACCGUCCAUGAGUCAUGGAGAGUGGCCCUGUGAUCUCAGAGGGGUUUUCAAAACCAGAGUGUGUUUGCCAACAAAAAUGAUCAACAUUGAUUGGAGGGCUGGAGAAGGAGUUAUAGAGUCUGGAAAGUGAGCCAGCUAAAUCUUCAUCUUCGAAAAUGGAGAGGUUGUAGAUAAUGUCUGAAGUUGACAGAGCAAGGAAGGACAUUCUAUAAACAUAUUACUGUAUUUGGAGUUAUGCAGGUAGCCACUGAAAAACUAAGAACAGAAAUGCUUCAAACUGGUUGCCUCUGGAAAGAGAGCUGGGAGGAAGAGUGGGCUGGGAGAGACCAGCUCUCCUCAUGCUUAGCCGUGCAGUGCAAUGUAGUAUUUUACCUUGUGCAUGGAUUUUGUAAUAAGAAAUAGCGAUGUGCAUUUGGAUAUUAAAAACAUUACACAACAAUUUAGAGUGAGGCGUGCCAUUUAAAAGGUCUGAUUAGAGGUUGCGGUUUGUCAUUACAUUUUAUAGAGGGUUGUCUUCUUGCUUUGGGUUUAAGCUCUGUUUUCAUUAUUUUAAUUUGUUUUUUAGAAAAUCACAAAAUUGGGACAAAACCAGGAGAGAGUUGAAGACAAUGGGGGAAGGGGGAGAAAAGCUCCCCAGUGAAUUCAGCUGCCCUUUCUGUACCACUCUAUGUACUUUGAUUUUAUGUCCUUCUGGAAAAAUUAAAUUGGAACUCCCUUUAUCACUUCUUCAUUUCAUUUUUUUUCCGUUGUAAAAAGGGCAAGAGCUUAAUGUGCCACAGAGUAAAGCUGCAGGGGCAGCUGGGCACACAUGGGCAGAUGCCCGAGGCUCUGGGCAGCUGGCUGGGUCUUCCACUCAGUUUCCAAAGUACGCAGUCGUGGCAGCAGCUGGAACCUGGCAGGCAGGUGACAGGAAGACAAGCUAAGGGGGUGCAUAUGGCAUUUCUGUCGGGUUUAAUGUUUUAACAAGUCAGAGGAAUACUUAAAUAUCAAAACGAAGUAUCCCUGCAGUAAAUAUUUAUCCUUUAACCAUAAAAAUAUCCUUUUAUACCCUUUGAGAAUUGAGAGGAGAGGAGAGGAGAGGAGAGGAGGGGAGGGGAGGGGAGGGGAGGGGAGAAGAAUGGAGAGGAGGGGAGGGGAUAGAAGAGGGGAGGGGAGGGGAGUGGAGGGGAGGAAAGGGGAGAGGAGGGGAGGGGAGUGGAGGGGAGGAAAGGGGAGAGGAGGGGAGGGGAGUGGAGGGGAGGAAAGGGGAGAGGAGGGAAGGGGAGAGGAAUGGAGAGGAGAGGAGGGGAGGGGAGGGGAGGGGAGGGGAGGGGAGGAGAGAGAUUCUUCAGAGGUUGAUCCAAGCUACUGAAAGGGUUGUUCAUUCACUGGCAGCACUGGCCUCACCCGGGAGCUUGUUAGAAAUGUAACAUCUUCCUGUUCCCCUAAGUGGCCUGACAAUCUGUGGAAAUGUGAACUCAGGCAAAUCGAGAGGUUCAAAUCUUCGUGUUCAUUGAAGAACACCUGUGAAACUGCUCAGGCCGUCAGGGUAUGCAUAUAUCAAGAGCCACCCAGUAUCUGAAAGAUGUCACUUGACAGAGACAGUGUGUACCAUUCUGACGUUACAAAGGUGGAGUUGGUAGGUGCGUCCAGGCCAAACAGUGGGACUGGACACAGGGUCAGUGGCCCAAAAAGAGUGCUGAAUGUUUGCUGCACAUGCUUAAAAAUGCAGAGUCAUGCUGAACGUAAGGGUUUACAUGUAGAUUCUCUGGUCAUUGAGCAUAGCCAGGUGAACAAAGUACCCAAGAUGUGUGGCCAGACUCACAGAGCUCAGGGUCAGGUUAACCCAUGUGUGAGCUCUGCCUGCCACAGUGAGAUGAGCCUUAUUGAAAAGGAACAAAUUGUUCCUAAACCAGAAGAGGCUGCGCAGAAGAAAAAGAUAGCCCAGAAGAAACUGAAGAAAUGGAAACUUACGGCACAGGAAUAGACUCAUCCAACAAUAAAUGGAAUUAAAAGUACAGGAAGGAAGGAAGGAAAGAAAGAAGGAAGGAAGGAAGGACAGAAAGAAGGAAGGAAGAAAGGACGGAAGGAAGGAAGGAAAAAAGAAGGAAGGAAGAAAAGGAAAGAAAAGAAAAGAAAAGAAAAUGUAGCAUCUCAGGCUCCCCAUCCCAUGGCCUCCUGCUCCUAAUCUGCAUUUUAACAAGAAGCUCAGGGGAUUCAUGUGCACAGCAGUUUGAGAGGUGCUAUUCUAAGGUAUAGAUGAGGAAUUCUUAGUCAAGAAAGUGCAAGCUUGUGGUUCUCAGCUUUAGCUUAGAAGCAUGUGGGGCACCUGAAAAAUACUGAUGACUGGGUCCCACCCUAGAAUAAUUAAAACAACCUCUGGGGGCGGAGCCUAGGCAUGGAUGUGUUUUCAAAGCACCCAGGUCAUCUCAAUGUGCGGCCAAGGCAGAAAAUAUAGGGUAAGUGAUGCUUAGAGCUGCUGAGCACAUUCUGUGGCAACACCCAGGUGGAGACCCUGUCUCCUUCAUGCGCUGCCUCCUCUGCGCUUGGCGACGUGAAGGAAAACUGUCAUACACAGGCUCGCAUCGAAUCCCACAACUAUUCACAAGAUGGUCUAAGUGGGGUGUCUAAUCUUUUGGCUUCCCUGAGCCACACUGAAACAAGAAGAAUCAUCUUGGACCACACAUAAAAUAUACAAACACUAAAGAUAGCUGAUAAGCUGAAGAAAAAAAACUGCAAAAAAAAAAGUCAUAAUGUUUUAAGAAAGUUUACAAAUUUGUGUUGAGCCACAUUCAAAGCCACCUUGGGCCCAUGGGCCAUGGGUUUCACAAACUUGGUCUAAGACUUCAUCCUUGAGUUAGAGUAAGCCUCUUGUCACUGGAGAAAUACCUUACUGCUGUAAACUACAUGAAACACUCAUGCAUAUUACAAAGUGGAAUAUUAAAAUCUGCUGCCCUAAGACAUUGAACAGCUUCAGUGUUAUCCAGCAAUGCUUUACUCAAAUGUGGAUGGAGAGUUUAACUAAAAGGAAAGCAUGGACACUGGGAAACCAAUCAAUCAGAUUUCCUAUUUUCAUAACUGAGAGACAAAAUAAAAUAAGGGUCGACAGAAGGUGCACGUGUUUGCAAUACUUUUGCGAGAGCCCAUUGCCACAGCCAAAUGUUAGCCUCUUGAGGCAUAAAUUAAUUUACCACAAAUGCAUGCCUGGUUGCGUCUGGAUUCUGCUAGGGCGAGCAGUAUGUGUUAGACUUUUGGACAACAGCUUAAAGAAUGACAUUUCUCCAACUUGCUGUGAUUUUUAUCCUCGAGCAGAAUGUUUUUCUUGGAAUGGGUUUCUGGGAGGGUUUGCGGACAUAAUUCUGGUUAUGUGUGCGGGCCCUGAAGGGUGCUUUUAUGAAUUUAGAGCAGCAGCUGUCCAGGCAGAGGGAUGCUCUUUACCCAGAGUGUGUGUGCCCCAGUAAACAUAUGAAUGGCUUUCAUGGAGCUCUCCAGACACGUGGCUUGCGCCCCCUGUGCCCGGCCUUACCUGGUACUGCUGCCCGGUGCAGAGGAUGAGGUGGUCGUAGGGCACGAUCUCGUCCGUGGAAAGCACAACGUGCUUGGCUGCUCGGUCUAUGCCGGUCAUUCUACCCACCACGACAUUAACCCAGGAGCACAGUGACAUCAGUGCAUAAUCUUUAUCAUUAAAACAGUGGCUGCAAAGAGAGAAGCUCCGUAAGUGACAUCUGAGCAGCUGACAGCGGGCAUUAAUUAGACAUCUGGUGAGCUGGUUCAAGUCCCCUAGUGGGCUGAGUCCGUGCUCUUGCUGUGAGUUUACCAGGACUGAUACUAGGAGAUUUUUCGUUAUGAAACACUUAGUUACAAAUUGACAUCUUCCCAUUAAAGCUAAAUUGUUCCACCUGGCUUAGGUCAGCCCACAACUGGGAGGGUGGGAGGGGUGUGUGUGUGUGUGUGUGUUUAUCUGUAUGUGUGUGUGUGUGAAAUCACUCAUACUAUACCUUUCUUCUGCUUCUACUUCAGAGUGGUUGUAAAUUUACUUUAGCUGUUAAAUUGGUGUAUUGACCACAGCCUCAAUGGGAAUGAGAAGGAAGAAAGUGACAUUGUUGAGGAUUCCCAAAGCCAGGGGUCAGAAUCUUUGAAUACCGAGAACCCUUCCUAUUCGCUAAUACUUUUCAGUAAUCACUCAUUCUGAGAAUUAGCGUAUGGCUUCCUGCCAAAACAACAAAACCCAUUUUACUUCAAGAAUAUAGCAAUUAGGGAGUUAGGUUCGCAGCAAGUACACUCCCUGGAGACUUUGGGAUUCACCCUUCAGGGCAGAGGUGAUUUUCUAGGAACGGAGACUUCGACCGCCAGCAGGCCCAGGGCGGCCAUUCAUGCCAUGGCUUCAGCGUGCUGUGGCUGCACUGGCUUCCAUUUUCUGGGCUCUCUUGGAGUUUGAGCGCUUUCACGUAGUAUGAUAAGAGUGGGUUUCUUGUGGCUUUGGGUUUAUUUAAACAGUUUUGUGAGGGUUGUUUCCAGAAUUUUCUGAAAGGAUUGACCUCAGGUAAACCACCUUUUAGUGAUUCUGUUCUGAAUACUGAGAGUCUAAGGUAAUAGGACAUUAAGUGCUUCUUUUAAUUUAGGCUGUAUGAUUCUUUUCUUCCUUUUUUCUCUUAACAUAAAAACACUAACAUUUUUAUUUAUUCAUCUAUUUAUUAUUUAUUUUUAGAAACAGGAUCUCACUAUGUUGCCCAAGCUGGUCUCAAACUCCUGAGCUCAAGUGAUCCUCCUGCCUCAGCCUCCUGAGUAGCUGGGACUGGAGGCACGCGCCACUUCUAUGCUUGGCAGCACAGUCCUCUUCAAAAAGAACCCUGCCAUGGUCUGUGCUGCUGACAAGCCUGGACUCUGCAUCCUCCUGCUGUCUUCAGUUUCCUCACCUCUUAACACAGGGUGGAACUGAAGCAAGUAAUUUGCGAAGACCAUUGAUAUAGUUUGGCUCUGUGUCCCCACUCAAAUCUCAUCGUGUAGCUCCCAUAAUUCCCACGUGUUGUGGGAGGGACCUGGUGAGAGGUAACCGAAUCAUGGGAACAGGUCUUUCCUAUGCUGUUCUCAUGAUAGUGAGUAAGUCUCACCAGAUCUGAUGGUUUUAAAAAUAGGAGUUUCCCUGCACAAGCUCUCUCUUUGCCUGCUGCCAUCCAUAUAAGACGUGACUUGUUCCUCUUUGCCUUCCACCAUGAUUGUGAGGCCUCCCCAGCCACGUGGAACUGAAAGUCCAUUAAACGUCUUUCUUUUGUAAAUUGCCCAGUCUUGGGUAUGCUUAUGUUUAUCAGCAGCAUGAGAAUGGACUAAUACAGUAAAUUGGUACCAGUAGAGUGGGGCGCUGCUGAAAAGAUACCCAAAAAUGCAGAAGCGACUUUGGAACUGGGUAACAGGCAGAGGUUGGAACAGUUUGGAGGGCUCAGAAGAAGAUGAGAAAAUGUGGGAAAGUUUGGAACUCCCUAGAGACUUGUUGAAUGGCUUUGGCCAAAAUGCUGAUAGCGAUAUGGACAAUAAAGUCCAGGCUGAGGUGGUCUCAGAUGGAAAUGAGGAACUUGUUGGGAACUGGAGUAAAGGUGGCACUUGUUAUGUUUUAGCAAAGAGAUUGGUGGCAUUUUGCCCCUGCCCUAGAGAUUUGUGGAACUUUGAACUUGAGAGAGAUAAUUUAGGGUAUCUGGCAGAAGAAAUUUCUAAGCAGCAAAGCAUUCAAGAGGUGAUGUGUGUGCUGUUAAAGGCAUUCAGUUUUAUAAGGGAAGCAGAGCAUAAAAGUUUGGAAAAUUUGCAGCUUGACAAUGCAAUAGAAAAGAAAAUCCCAUUUUCUGAGGAGAAGUUCAAGCCAGCUGCAGAAAUGUGCAUAAGUAACAAGGAGCCGAAUGUUAAUCCCCAAGACAAUGGAAAAAAUGUCUCCAGGGCAUGUCAGAGACAGCAGCCCCUCCCAUCAUAGGCCUGGAGGCCCAGGAGGAAAAAGUGGUUUUGUGGGUUGAGCCCAGGGUCCCCAUGCUGGGUGCAGUGUAGGGACUUGGUGCCCUGCAUUCCAGACACUCCAGCCAUGGCUGAAAGAGGCUAAUGUAGAGCUCAGGCUAUGGCUUCAGUGGAUACAAGCCUCAAACCUUGGCAGCCUCCAUGUGGUGUUGAACCUGUGAGUACACAGAAGUCAAGAAUUGAGGUUUGAGAACCUCCACUUAGAUGUCGGAGGAUGUAUGGAUAUGCCUGGAUGUCCAGGCAGAAGUUUGCCGCAGGGGCAGGGCUCUCAUGGAAAACUUCUGCUAGGGCAGUGUGGAAGGGAAAUGUGGAGUCAGGGCGCCCACACAGAGUCCCUACUGGGGCACUUCUAGUGGAGCUGUGAGAAGAGGGCCACCCUCCUCCAGACCCCAGAAUGGUAGAUCUACCAGCAGCUUGCACUGUAUGUCUGGAAAAGCCACAGUCACUCAAUGCCAGCCCAUGAAAACAGCCAGGAGGGAGGCUGUACCCUGCAAAGCCACAGGGGUGGAGCUGCCCAAGACCAUAGGAACCCACCUCUUGCAUCAGCAUGACCUGGAUAUGAGACAUGGAGCCAAAGGAGAUCAUUUUGAAGCUUUAGGAUUUGACUGCCCCACUGGAUUUCGGACUUGCAUGGAGCCUGUAACCCCUUUGUUUUGGCCAAUUUCUCCAAUUUGGAAUGGCUGUAUUUACCCAAUGCCUGUACCCCCACUGUAUCUAGGAGGUAGCUAACUUGCUUUUGAUUUUACAUGGUCAUAGGCAGAAGGGACUUGCCCUGUCUCAGAUGAGACUUUAGGCUGUGGACUUUUGAGUUAAUGCUAUAAUGAUUUAAGACUUUGGGGGGCCAGGCAUGGUGGCUCAUACCUGUAAUCCCAGCACUUUGGGAGGCCGAGGCAGGUGGAUCACGUGAGGUCAGGAGUUUGAGACCAGCCUGACCAACAUGGUGAAACCCUGUCUCCACUAAAAAUACAAAAUUAGCCAGGUGUGGUGGCACAUGCCUGUAAUCCCAGCUACUUGGCAGGCUGAGGCAGAAGAAUCACUUGAACUGGGGAGGUGGAGGUUGCAGUGAGUCAAGAUCACACCAUUGCACUCCAGCCUGGGCAACAAGAGUGAAACUCCAUCUCAAAAAAAAGAAAAAAAAAAAGACUUGGGGGACUGUUGAGAAGGCAUGAUGGGUUUUGAAAUGUGAAGGCAUAAGAUUUGGGAGGGGCCAGGGGCAGAAUGAUAUGGUUUGGCUCUGUGUCUCCACCCAAAUCUCAUCUUGUAGCUCCCAUAAUUCCCAUGUGUUGUGGGAGGGACCUGUUGGGAGGUAAUUGAAUCAUGGGAGCAGGUCUUUCCCAUGCUGUUCUUGUGAUAGUGAAUUAGUCUCACGAGAUCUGAUGGUUUUAAAAAUAGGAAUUUCCCUGCACGAGCUCUCUCUUUGCCUGCUGCCGUCCAUGUAAGACAUGAGUUGUUCCUCCUUGCCUUCCACCAUGAUUGUGAGGCCUCCCCAGCCAUGUGGAACUGUAAGUCCAUUAAACCUCUUUCUUUUGUAAAUGGCCCAGUCUCAGGUAUGUCUUUAUCAGCAGCGUGAGAACAGACUAAUACAACCAUAUAGCUAGUAAGUCUGGAGGCAGGGUUUGAACCCAGGAUGCCUGGCUCCAGCAUCCUCUCACCUUACCUCUGCCUGUACUGUCCUGUAGAUCUCAAAUUGUUCAGAGGGAUCCAAAGGUCAUCUAAUUCCCAUUGGCUGACAUUAGCUUUAUUACAUUCAGAUACACACAGUUACUCAAAUCAGGAUACCAAAAAGUGUCAUCUGCGAGGAAAUUCUAGAGGAUUCCUUUUUAAGAGCAAAACUGCUUUAUAUUUGCAUCAGGCUUUCCAGAGCCCAAGGCACAUUCAUAGGCAUUCACAUAGAGAUUAAUCUUCUACACAAUUUAUGCUAGGGAUAGGGAAGAGACCGGUUUUUCUGAUCCACAUUUCAUAGGUAAGAAAAUCAAGGUUGGAAAUGGUAAGUAAUUUGUUCAAGGUUACAAAGCUCAUAAGCAGUGCCAGCUAUGAAAGAAAGCCAGGCCUGCUGGCCCUAGGCAGCGCCCUGCUCCAGGCACCCACAAUACUCCCUCUAACUAGUCCUACAGGUAAAGUGCACCUAAGUAGAGACUUCUGAAGAACUCACAUGCUCAAGGCUCACUCCGUGUUUGCCCAUCAGGAUUUAAGAUGCUCUUGCUGCAAAUCCACCCCCUGGUUAAAGUCAGUAAAAUUUCAUGGGUGAGCUGAUCUUUUCAUAGGGUUCAUGCUGAUGAGAUUUUUUUUUCUAAAAUCUCUUCUUAG